AGCUUUGCACAGUGGCAGUAUCGUAGCCAAUGAGGUUUAUCCGAGGCGCGAUUAUUGCUAAUUGAUUUGAGGAAGGAUUUCUAAUUAACAUCUGUUUUCUGGUUUCCAAUUACCCAUUAAAUAUUAAUGUAAUUAAAUCUUACCUAAAAGA
Small nuclear RNA from Vulpes vulpes (red fox), 151 nucleotides. Its record names the gene U4. It matches the Rfam family "U4 spliceosomal RNA". From Rfam's summary of the family: U4 small nuclear RNA (U4 snRNA) is a component of the major U2-dependent spliceosome. Lineage: Eukaryota; Metazoa; Chordata; Mammalia; Carnivora; Canidae. The record is from Ensembl.